UCCAAACAAUAUUCCAAAUAAUAUUCCAAAUAAUCCAAAGUUCCAAUUAAUUCCAAGUUUAUAUAAUAAUCCAAAGUAUUUACAUAAUUAUCACAAUAUUUUUUUUUAAAAUUAAAAUAUAUAACAUGCCCAAAAGUUCUGUUACAGCUAGGAAGUUGAAAAGUUAGAGAUAAGCUAUAAAAUACAGCAGUUUGAAGCAACUCUUCAAAAGACUUUUCCAAAAGCUUCUUGAAAUUCCCAAGCGCCCAAUUCCAAUCCCUAAUUACAGGGCCCCAAAUCCAAAAGUAGACCACUUUUCAAUCAAUGUCCAUUCACUUUUUGCAAACCUGCAAAACCAAUUCAUAAUUUAAAAACAGCUUAUCAAAUAAGCACUUAAAAAACUGAAAAAUAAAUGAUAAAGUAAGCAGAUUAAUUGGUUACACAGUAAACCAAGGAGAANAAUCCAUAUGCUUCUUGUUCGUUACUGCAAAACAAUUAAAACCCCUAUAUUAAUUGCUUCAAACCGUGACUAUUGAAGGUUGAAUCGCGAAUUUAGGUUUAGGUUUUUUUUCUUAUUUUCUUACCGCUGAUCCGGUUGAUUGAAGAGGGUUUUGAAAAAACUGAGGCCGAAUUUAGAAUAUCUGGCCAAAAACAAGUGGGAUUCGUGUUUUAAAGUUUGGGUUUGGGGUGAAGAGUCGCCGGAGAAGAGGGCGGCGCCGCCGCGAUUGGCCGGCCGCCACCGUCUUCUCCGGCAGGUUUGGCCGUGAGGAGAGUGACGGAGAAGAAGAAGAAAUUGCAGAGCAACUUUAUUUCAGAAGUGAAGAGAGAGAACGAGAGGAGCAAAUGAGGCUCU
Molecule: long non-coding RNA, 832 nt
Filed under: Lathyrus oleraceus (garden pea)
Lineage: Eukaryota; Viridiplantae; Streptophyta; Magnoliopsida; Fabales; Fabaceae
Description: Pisum sativum (pea) long non-coding RNA (PSAT_LNC036383)
Source: RNAcentral